Molecule: ribosomal RNA, 1535 nt
Filed under: Salmonella enterica subsp. enterica
Lineage: Bacteria; Pseudomonadati; Pseudomonadota; Gammaproteobacteria; Enterobacterales; Enterobacteriaceae
Description: 16S ribosomal RNA
Rfam family: Bacterial small subunit ribosomal RNA
Source: RNAcentral
AAAUUGAAGAGUUUGAUCAUGGCUCAGGUGAACGCUGGCGGCAGGCCUAACACAUGCAAGAAUCGAACGGUAACAGGAAGCAGCUUGCUGCUUUGCUUGUGCAGUGGCAGACGGGUGAUAAUGUCUGAAACUGCCUGAUGGAGAGGGAUAACUACCUGAAACGGUGGCUAAUACACAUAACGUCCUUAAGACCAAAAGAAGGGGGACCUUCGGGCCUGCCAUCGGAGAUAUUGCCCAGAUGGGAUUAGCUUGUUGGUGAUGAGGCGUAACGGCUCACCAGGCGACGAUCCUAACUGGUCUGAGAGGAUGACCAGCCACACUGGAACUGAGACACGGUCGAACUCUACGGGAGGCAGCAGUGGGAGUAUUGCACAAUGGGCGCAAAGCUGAUGCAGCCAUGCGCGUGUAUGAAGAAGGCGCUUCCGGAGUUUGUAAAAGUACUUUCAGCGGGAGGAAGGUGUUGUAGUUAUAGCAAGCAGUGACGUUACCCGCAGAAGCUUGCAGCUAACUCCCGCAUUGCCAGCAGCCGCGGUAACCACGGAGGUGCAAGCGUUAAUCCGGAGUACUGGGCGUAAAGCGCACGCAGGCGGUCUGUCAAGUCGGAUGUGAAAUCCCCGGGCUCAACACAGGAACUGCAUUCCGAAGCAUAGCGGGCUUGGAGUGCUGUAGAGGGGUAGAAUUCGAGGUGGCAGCGGUGAAAUGCGUAGAGAUCUGGAGGAAUACCGGUGGCGAAAGGCGGCUACGGACGGGAACUGACGCUCAGGUGCAGCGUGGGAGCAAGCAGGGAUUAGAUACACGGUAGUCACGUAAAGCGAUGUCUGCGCGGAGGUUGUGCCCUUGAGGCGUGGCUUCCGGAACUAACGCGUUAAGUAGACCGCACAGGGGAGUACGGCCGCAAGAGUUGAAACUCCAAAUAAUGAAUUGGCAGGAAUUUUACAGAAAACGCGGUGGGCAUGUGGUUUAAUUCGAUGCAACGCGAAAAGGGCCUUACACAGUCUUGACAUCCACGGAAGAAUCCAGAGAUGGAUUUGGCCUUCGGGGAACCGUGAGACAGGUGCUGCAUGGCUGUCGUCAGCUCGUGUUGUGAAAUGUUGGGUUAAGUCCGCAACGAGCGCAACCCUUAUCGCUGUUGCCAGCGGUCAGCCGGGAACUCAAAGGAGACUGCAGUGAUAAACUGGAGGAAGGUAGGGACUGACGUCAAGUCAUGGCCCCUUGACGGGGCUACACACGUGCUACAAUGGCGCAUACAAGAAGCGACCUCGCGAGCAAGCGGACCUCAUAAAAAUUGCGUCGUAGUCCAGUUGAGUCUGCAACUCGACUCCAUGAAGUCGGAAUCGCUAGUAUCGUGAAUAGAAUGCCACGGUGAGCCGUCCGGAAGCGCUUGCACACCGCCCGUCACACCAUGAAAUUUAGGUUGCAAAAAGUAGGUAGCAACACCUUCGGGAGGGCGCUUACCACUGUGAUUCAUAUGACUGGGGUGAAAGUCGCUAACAAAAUAACCGUAGAGGAACCUGCGGAUUUGGAUCACCUCCUUA